RNAcentral lists this ribosomal RNA (403 nucleotides) under Blastocystis sp. Its description in RNAcentral is "SSU rRNA". It matches the Rfam family "Eukaryotic small subunit ribosomal RNA", at positions 576 to 989 of the family's 1831-position model. Lineage: Eukaryota; Bigyra; Opalinata; Blastocystidae. The record is from RNAcentral.
GCGGUAAUUCCAGCUCCAAUAGCGUAUAUUAACGUUGUUGCAGUUAAAAAGCUCGUAGUUGAAGUGUGGGUGAUCGCUAUUGUGAGACUUCGGUCUCUCGACAGUAAGUCACCCCCUUCCAGUAUCCAGUAGUGGGUAUUCAGUUACUUACUAUUGUGUGUUGGUCGUUUACUGUGAGAAAAUUAGAGUGUUCAAAGCAGGCGUUUGCUUGAAUAGAUUAGCAUGGAAUAAUAAUUGAAGGCUUUCGUGUUCGAUUUGAUUGGUUUGUUCAUGGAAGCAAGGUUAAAAGGAACAGUUGGGGGUAUUCAUAUUCACUAGUUAGAGGUGAAAUUCUCGGAUUUAUGGAAGAUGAACAAGUGCGAAAGCAUUUACCAAGGAUGUUGUCAUUAAUCAAGAACGAAAG